Molecule: non-coding RNA, 28 nt
Filed under: Mus musculus (house mouse)
Lineage: Eukaryota; Metazoa; Chordata; Mammalia; Rodentia; Muridae
Source: RNAcentral
UAAACUGCUGCUGCAUGCACACAGCUCA